GACGAACGCUGGCGGCGUGCUUAACACAUGCAAGUCGAACGGACAGGCCCUGCUUUUGUGGGGUGCUCGAGUGGCGAGCAGGUGAGUAACACGUGAGUAACCUGCCCUUAUCUUUGGGAUAACUUCAGGAAACUGCGGCUCAUACCGGAUAGGAGCUACUGCUGCGUGGUGGGGGAUGGAAAGAUUCGGCGGUUGGGGAUCGACUCGCGGCUUAUCAGCUUGAUGGUGGGGUAGUGGCGUACCAGGGUUGUGACGGGUAGCCGGCCUGAGAGGGUGACCGGGCACAAUGCGACUGAGAGACGGCGCAGACGCCUACGGGAGGCAGCAGGCGGGAAUAUGGCACAAUGAGCGGAAGCCAGAUACAGCGACGCCGCGUGCGGGAUGACGGCCUACGGGUGAUAAACCGCUGUCGCCUGUGACGAGGCGUGAGUGACGGUAAUGGGUAAAGAAGCACCGGCUAACUACGUG
Molecule: ribosomal RNA, 468 nt
Filed under: uncultured bacterium
Lineage: Bacteria
Description: partial 16S ribosomal RNA
Rfam family: Bacterial small subunit ribosomal RNA
Source: RNAcentral